AGCAGGGCACUGCAGGGUGUUUCAGGGUGUAGCAGGGUAUUGUAGGGCAUUACAGGGUGUAGCAGAGCACUGCAGGGUGUAGCAGGU
Etheostoma spectabile (orangethroat darter) is the source of this 87-nucleotide long non-coding RNA. RefSeq lists it as uncharacterized. The transcript is spliced from 3 exons. NCBI's taxonomy places the organism in Eukaryota, Metazoa, Chordata, Actinopteri, Perciformes, Percidae. The record is from RefSeq and is a predicted model, not a curated record.